GACGAACGCUGGCGGCGUGCCUAAUACAUGCAAGUCGAACGCUUCUUUCCUCCCGAGUGCUUGCACUCAAUUGGAAAGAGGAGUGGCGGACGGGUGAGUAACACGUGGGUAACCUACCCAUCAGAGGGGGAUAACACUUGGAAACAGGUGCUAAUACCGCAUAACAGUUUAUGCCGCAUGGCAUAAGAGUGAAAGGCGCUUUCGGGUGUCGCUGAUGGAUGGACCCGCGGUGCAUUAGCUAGUUGGUGAGGUAACGGCUCACCAAGGCCACGAUGCAUAGCCGACCUGAGAGGGUGAUCGGCCACACUGGGACUGAGACACGGCCCAGACUCCUACGGGAGGCAGCAGUAGGGAAUCUUCGGCAAUGGACGAAAGUCUGACCGAGCAACGCCGCGUGAGUGAAGAAGGUUUUCGGAUCGUAAAACUCUGUUGUUAGAGAAGAACAAGGACGUUAGUAACUGAACGUCCCCUGACGGUAUCUAACCAGAAGGCCACGGCUAACUACG
RNAcentral lists this ribosomal RNA (506 nucleotides) under uncultured bacterium. RNAcentral's name for it is "partial 16S ribosomal RNA". It matches the Rfam family "Bacterial small subunit ribosomal RNA", at positions 28 to 505 of the family's 1533-position model. The record is from RNAcentral.